AGAUGCGAUCAUACCAGCACUAAAGCACCGAAUCCCAUCAGAACUCCGAAGUUAAGCUUGCUUGGGCGAGAGUAGUACUAGGAUGGGUGACCUCUUGGGAAGUCCUCGUGUUGCAUUCC
RNAcentral lists this ribosomal RNA (119 nucleotides) under Aegilops tauschii subsp. strangulata. Lineage: Eukaryota; Viridiplantae; Streptophyta; Magnoliopsida; Poales; Poaceae. The record is from RNAcentral.